RNAcentral lists this ribosomal RNA (492 nucleotides) under uncultured bacterium. Its description in RNAcentral is "partial 16S ribosomal RNA". It matches the Rfam family "Bacterial small subunit ribosomal RNA", at positions 29 to 507 of the family's 1533-position model. The record is from RNAcentral.
AGUGAACGCUGGCGGUAGGCCUAACACAUGCAAGUCGAACGGCAGCACAGUAAGAGCUUGCUCUUACGGGUGGCGAGUGGCGGACGGGUGAGGAAUACAUCGGAAUCUACUUUUUCGUGGGGGAUAACGUAGGGAAACUUACGCUAAUACCGCAUACGACCUACGGGUGAAAGCAGGGGAUCUUCGGACCUUGCGCGAUUGAAUGAGCCGAUGUCGGAUUAGCUAGUUGGCGGGGUAAAGGCCCACCAAGGCGACGAUCCGUAGCUGGUCUGAGAGGAUGAUCAGCCACACUGGAACUGAGACACGGUCCAGACUCCUACGGGAGGCAGCAGUGGGGAAUAUUGGACAAUGGGCGCAAGCCUGAUCCAGCCAUACCGCGUGGGUGAGGAAGGCCUUCGGGUUGUAAAGCCCUUUUGUUGGGAAAGAAAAGCAGCAGGUUAAUACCCCGCUGUUCUGACGGUACCCAAAGAAUAGGCACCGGCUAACUUCGUG